Long non-coding RNA from Parus major (Great Tit), 449 nucleotides. RefSeq lists it as uncharacterized. The transcript has 3 exons. The record is from RefSeq and is a predicted model, not a curated record. NCBI's taxonomy places the organism in Eukaryota, Metazoa, Chordata, Aves, Passeriformes, Paridae.
UGUUUGUGUAUCACAGUGCUGCUGGCAAAUUUUGAAACAAAAUUAGAGUUUGGCAAUCAAUUAGAGCAGUCAGACAGCAUGCAGAGCCCUUCACAACAGACCAAGACUCCUGCUCUUAGGAUUACCAGCAUGGCUAUGGUAAUGGAAAAACCUAGUUAUAGAGCUCUGGAGUUGGAAUACCAACACAUGUGACCUCGCAGUAGGAGCAGAUUACGAUCCAACAGCAAAUAGCUUCAUCCACUUGCAGCAAACACCUUCCAUGAAGCACAUAGGAAACAGGAACUCACAGCAUUGACCCAGCAUUAGGGGGUCUUAAAGCUACACUUGGUGUCAGGGCAGAACAAAGAACUACUCUUCACAGUGUUACCCUGUGACCCCCCAGCUUCCAGAGCAUCCCUACAUGACAAUGAGUAUGAGCCAGGGGUACUGUCCUGGUCUAAGCAGCACUA